Molecule: small nuclear RNA, 255 nt
Filed under: Ochotona princeps (American pika)
Lineage: Eukaryota; Metazoa; Chordata; Mammalia; Lagomorpha; Ochotonidae
Description: 7SK RNA (ENSOPRG00000021304.1)
Rfam family: 7SK RNA
About the family: 7SK was discovered as an abundant small nuclear RNA in the mid-70s but a possible function has only recently been suggested. Two independent studies have found that 7SK RNA binds the CDK9/cyclin T complex (known as elongation factor P-TEFb).
Source: RNAcentral
GGAUGUGAGGGCGAUCUGUCACCAGGGUGGAAUUGGCUGAUCUGGCUAGGCGGGUGGCCCCUUCCUCCCUCAUCGCUCCAUGUGCGGCCCUCCCAAGGCUGUGCUUGGUUGAAGAGGACGACCAUCCCCGCUAGAGGAGAACCGGUCUUCGGUCAAGGGUAUACGAGUAGCUGCGCUCCCCUGCUAGAACCUCCAAACAAGCUCUCAAGGUCCAUAUGGAAGCGCCAUGAUGACCUUGGACAGGAAUUCUUCUAA